This is a non-coding RNA of Rana temporaria (common frog), 954 nucleotides long. The record is from the annotation of a RefSeq genome assembly. Lineage: Eukaryota; Metazoa; Chordata; Amphibia; Anura; Ranidae.
GAAAGUGACACUGAGUGACAAAGUAACACUACAUAAUCAGAUCUUCUGUGUAUAAAGUCUAAACAUUUAUGAUUUCAAUUUUUUAUUCAAGCAAUAGCAUAUGGACAGUCAUCCUCUACAAUGAAAAGGCCACUUUGUUUUUUGCUGGUCCUGGAGCUUUCAGCAUAACAUAUGGACAUCAUUCCUCUACAAUGAAAAGGCUGCUUUGUCUUUUGCUGGUCUUGGAACUUUUGGCACAUUUGUGCCAGGCAGUGACGGUCACUCAGAAUGUACCCAUAAUUGUCACCAAAGCUGGAAAAAAGGUGGAAAUUCCUUGUGAACACGACGAUAAAACUGGUUCUUACAACAUGUACUGGUAUCAACAGAAGCCAGGUGAGGGGAUGAAGCUUAUGGCUCUAUCAAUUGCGUCAUCUCCCCCCACUAUGGAGGAUGAAUUUAAGGGAAAAUGGAAUAUGUCCCGGCCAGAUAUCAUAAACUUCUUUCUGAUAAAGGAGAAAGCAACAUCUGAAGAUAUGGCUGUGUAUUUCUGUGCUUCCAGUCUGCACAGCCACAAAUAACAGAGAAGGAGCCAACAUAAAACCAACAACUCGCUUCACUAGGAGUGUCAACUUUUCUAAGCCACCUGCUGGGGAAACUAGUGUGUUCCUAAAAAUGCAAUCAAACUUUAAUUUAAAAUAAAGUUUCUACAAUCAAUUUCUGGCACCAAGAUCUUGAGGCUACAUAAUUUUUUGUUUGGGUCUUGAUUGGUGUUGGUCCAGUCAUUCCAGGUACAGGGCAAAGGUGAGUAAGGAGCACAGGUUUCGUGUUGAGAGGGAGGGAAGGUUUCAAAGGUUUAAUUUAUGAAACAGGUUAAGUGUGAUGCCGCGUACACACGACCGUUUUUCAUGUCCUAGAAAAAACAAAGAGGUAGAUUUAGGUAGCUCAGCGCUUCUUUUGGCCGGCGUAGCGCAUCUC